Emydomyces testavorans is the source of this 109-nucleotide non-coding RNA. The record is from the annotation of a GenBank genome assembly. Lineage: Eukaryota; Fungi; Ascomycota; Eurotiomycetes; Onygenales; Nannizziopsiaceae.
GCCUCUGUGGUCUAGUUGGUCAUGACGCCGGUCUCAUAUCUAGGUUAUGACAAGUAGUUUCAAACUGCUUGAAAUCCGGAGGUCGCCAGUUCGAUCCUGGCCGGGGGCA